AUCUCUCAAUCCCUCUGGCUUUGUUGACAGAGGGCUUGGAUUUGGGGGCUUGCCGGCCUAGUCGGCUCCCCUUGAAUGCAUUAGCUUGGGUCUUGUCCGCAAGGAUCCUCGGUGUGAUAAUUAUCGACGCCGUGACAACUUGUGGCGCGUGUGACCGCACCCCUCGGGUGGCGUGUGACCGGACCGCUAAGCUUACAAUCGUCCUCGGACAACUUCUUGAC
This 221-nucleotide unclassified non-coding RNA is filed under the name uncultured Polyporales. RNAcentral describes it as "sequence contains ITS2". The record is from RNAcentral. Lineage: Eukaryota; Fungi; Basidiomycota; Agaricomycetes; Polyporales.